UCCCUGGUGGCUCAGACAGUAAAGAAUCUGCCUGUAAUGCAGGAGACCUAGCUUUGAUCCCUGGCUUGGGAA
RNAcentral lists this transfer RNA (72 nucleotides) under Bos taurus (domestic cattle). It matches the Rfam family "tRNA". Rfam says of the family: Transfer RNA (tRNA) molecules are approximately 80 nucleotides in length. Their secondary structure includes four short double-helical elements and three loops (D, anti-codon, and T loops). The record is from Rfam by way of RNAcentral. RNAcentral also lists the same sequence under 4 other names. Lineage: Eukaryota; Metazoa; Chordata; Mammalia; Artiodactyla; Bovidae.